AGUGAACGCUGGCGGUAGGCCUAACACAUGCAAGUCGAACGGCAGCACAGUAAGAGCUUGCCCUUACGGGUGGCGAGUGGCGGACGGGUGAGGAAUACAUCGGAAUCUACUUUUUCGUGGGGGAUAACGUAGGGAAACUUACGCUAAUACCGCAUACGACCUACGGGUGAAAGCAGGGGAUCUUCGGACCUUGCGCGAUUGAAUGAGCCGAUGUCGGAUUAGCUAGUUGGCGGGGUAAAGGCCCACCAAGGCGACGAUCCGUAGCUGGUCUGAGAGGUUGAUCAGCCACACUGGAACUGAGACACGGUCCAGACUCCUACGGGAGGCAGCAGUGGGGAAUAUUGGACAAUGGGCGCAAGCCUGAUCCAGCCAUACCGCGUGGGUGAAGAAGGCCUUCGGGUUGUAAAGCCCUUUUGUUGGGAAAGAAAAGCAGCAGGUUAAUACCCCGCUGUUCUGACGGUACCCAAAGAAUAAGCACCGGCUAACUUCGUG
RNAcentral lists this ribosomal RNA (492 nucleotides) under uncultured bacterium. RNAcentral's name for it is "partial 16S ribosomal RNA". It matches the Rfam family "Bacterial small subunit ribosomal RNA", at positions 29 to 507 of the family's 1533-position model. The record is from RNAcentral.